UCCUACGGGGGGCAGCAGCCGCGGUAAUACGUAUGGUGCAAGCGUUAUCCGGAUUUACUGGGUGUAAAGGGAGCGCAGGCGGUGCGGCAAGUCUGAUGUGAAAGCCCGGGGCUCAACCCCGGGACUGCAUUGGAAACUACCGAACUAGAGUGUCGGAGAGGUAAGUGGAAUUCCUAGUGUAGCGGUGAAAUGCGUAGAUAUUAGGAGGAACACCAGUGGCGAAGGCGGCUUACUGGACGAUAACUGACGCUGAGGCUCGAAAGCGUGGGGAGCAAACAGGAUUAGAUACCCCACAGAUCGGAAGG
This 305-nucleotide ribosomal RNA is filed under the name uncultured bacterium. Its description in RNAcentral is "bacterial SSU rRNA". It matches the Rfam family "Bacterial small subunit ribosomal RNA", at positions 499 to 800 of the family's 1533-position model. The record is from RNAcentral.